AUACGUAGGUGGCGAGCGUUAUCCGGAAUUAUUGGGCGUAAAGAGGGAGCAGGCGGCACUAAGGGUCUGUGGUGAAAGCCCGAAGCUUAACUUCGGCGAGCCAUGGAAACCGUAGAGCUAGAGUGUGUGAGAGGAUCGUGGAAUUCCAUGUGUAGCGGUGAAAUGCGUAGAUAUAUGGAGGAACACCAGUGGCGAAGGCGACGAUCUGGCGCACAACUGACGCUCAGUCCCGAAAGCGUGGGGAGC
RNAcentral lists this ribosomal RNA (246 nucleotides) under uncultured bacterium. Its description in RNAcentral is "partial 16S ribosomal RNA". It matches the Rfam family "Bacterial small subunit ribosomal RNA", at positions 523 to 769 of the family's 1533-position model. The record is from RNAcentral.